RNAcentral lists this ribosomal RNA (497 nucleotides) under uncultured bacterium. RNAcentral's name for it is "partial 16S ribosomal RNA". It matches the Rfam family "Bacterial small subunit ribosomal RNA", at positions 28 to 507 of the family's 1533-position model. The record is from RNAcentral.
GAUGAACGCUGGCGGCGUGCCUAAUACAUGCAAGUCGAACGGACAGACGAUGAGCUUGCGCCGCUGACGUUAGCGGCAGACGGGUGAGUAACACGUGUAUACCCUCCCUAUCAGACUGGGAAAAUUACGGGACAGCGGAGAAAAUCCCGGAUAAUCUAUUGAACCGCGGGGUGGAAUGGAGAGAGACGGUGGUGCUGUCUCUAAUAGAUGGUUCCGAGCCGCAUUAGCUGGUUGGUACGUUCACGGCUUACCAAGGCAACGAUGCGUGGCCGACGUGAGAGACGGAUAGGCCACCUUGGAGCGGGACCACGGACCAUGCUCCUGCGGGAGGCAGCAGUAGGGAACCUUCCGCAAUGGGCGAGAGCCUUACGGAGCGGCGCCGCGUGAGUGAUGGAGGCCUUCGGAUCGUAAAACCCUGUUACUAGUGAAGAACAAAUGUGUAAGUAAAUAUGCACGUCGUGACGGUACCUAAUCAGAAAGCACCGGCUAACUACGUG